This is a long non-coding RNA of Bradysia coprophila, 302 nucleotides long. The record is from RefSeq and is a predicted model, not a curated record. Lineage: Eukaryota; Metazoa; Arthropoda; Insecta; Diptera; Sciaridae.
ACGGCUGCAGUUUUCUAUAUAGAAAAGACUCUUUUCUACGUAGAAAAGAUUCUUUUCUAUAUAGAAAAGGAACCUUGUUUUACUUAAUACUUUUUCUGCAAUAGUAUGCGCAAUCGUAGUAGUUGUAAUUGUUUUGAUUGAAGUCAUCGUCAGUUUGUUAAUAUUGUCUUAUCUGUUCAACGGAUUUCGAUCAAUCGAAAUUCCAGCGUGUAGAGAAUGAGCACAGGACUACGAAACAAUGGAAACAAUUAUGUCUACUACGAUUACACAUACUAUUGCCUCUAAAAAUGAAACGUUUUAAG